GGCCUUUUAAAAUUGAUUGUUUUGAAAACAAGCUAUAAGUGUUUAAAUCACUUGAAGGCUU
Molecule: transfer RNA, 61 nt
Filed under: Solen strictus (Gould's razor shell)
Lineage: Eukaryota; Metazoa; Mollusca; Bivalvia; Adapedonta; Solenidae
Description: tRNA-Ser
Source: RNAcentral